RNAcentral lists this long non-coding RNA (4344 nucleotides) under Podarcis lilfordi (Lilford's wall lizard). Lineage: Eukaryota; Metazoa; Chordata; Lepidosauria; Squamata; Lacertidae. The record is from RNAcentral.
CCAGUACACUUUGGCCAGCGAGGUCAAUCCUGAUACAGAUCUGCCCCAUGGAGCUGAAAUGGUUCCUCAACCCUAACCUGGAGCUAAUUUCUGUUUAACAGACUGCCAGUUGUCUUGUGCUUGAGCACCAUUCAUCACUACCUGUAGCAACUACCAGGAAUGCAGACAGAGAAUGCAAGACCUCACAACAGAAUAGCUAGGGUAAGCCAGCAGCGGACAACCUCUGGACUGCGAGCCAAAUUGAGCCUGCCAGGGAUCCCGUUUGGCCUGCCCAUUUGGCAUAUUCAGUUCCUUUCAUCUACAUGUGGUAAAUGGAUCAGGAUGUUAAGGUCAGGAACGGGGAUCACACUCCUUAUAGGGAAGCUGUUUUAGGUAACAUAUGUACCAUGACCAUGAUGCGUUCUCUACCCUUCUAGUGGGUGCCCAGUGGAGUAUAUGGGGUAUGUGUCUUGAGGUCUCUCUCUAAAUGCAUUUAUUCUUUUAUACCUGGCCCCAGAGUAUGUCCUCAAGCACGACUCUUGAUGAAGAAUAUUUUUCAACAAGAAAAUGCAGCUUGAGAUUUACAGUGCUGGGUUCUGUUCCUAUGCAAUGAACCUCCCAUCCUCUGCUUCCACUUAUUUAUCUUGAUGAUCGAUGUGUUUUGUGACUCUCCGCUAAUGCAAUAUUCCUAGCUGCUUCUUCUGCUGUAAUUUCUGGUUCUUUGCUCUAUAAGUUAAACAUGUGUCUCCUGUCAUGCAAAGCUUGUCCGAAGGAUAGAUGACUUCUGCUUCCAUUUAUUUCCUCCGCAGAGGUGAGUGCAUUCAUCUUGUCACUUGUAGAUCCCGGGCAAUUUAAUGAAGUGUUCACUAAACGUUGCCCAAGAAGCGCUUGCAUUAUCGAAAACACGGCGAACCCUUCCGUUUCAAGAUAAGGUCAUUUAUAUUUAGUAAAAAUGGGACUCGGCUAUUGUUAAGAGUUGAGUAUGACUUAUGCUGAGAGAGCCCUUUGUAAGUGAAGCGCCAGAUUAAUCACGAUGCUCAGUGUGACACAGAGCAGGGUCCCAGAUAAAAGUGGCCUCCUCUGAUAGUGCAGUCAUCUGUGGGAGGCACUGCCAUGUCUAGCUGUCACCCAGUGCCAGACAUUGAGUCUUUGGAAGAUAAAUCAGACAUUGCAGAGGUUGAGGGCCUUGAGGAACAGGAAGGGGGUCCUGGAACGUGUGCUCAGCAUCACCUUGAGGGACCUCUUGAAGCAAACACCACUACCAUGCCCCCCAGCUGUCCCAUUUUAAGUGGGACAGAAACCAAUCCCAACUUCCGUUUGCAUCCCAGAAUGUCCUUUUUUUGGUCUGGCACUUUUGUGUGAGUCCUCGGAAGGUGCUCAACACUGGUACUCCAGCACAUCUGGGAAUUAUGUUCACAUGUGGUGGGGGUGUAAAUAUGUACAAUUUUUCUGGCAAAGGGUGUUUAAGGAGAUAACAGAAAUCACUGGGUUAAAGCUUACCGAAAGUCCAGAGGUAGCAUAAUUAUCAAUUUACGAUGGGAUGGAAGGUUCGCAGGCUAGGAAGAACUUGCUCACAAAUUGUGAUAGCUAGGAAGUGGAAGGGGCAAGCAGAAUAUAAAAUAGAAGAAUGGCAUAAAAAGGUGUGGGAUAUGGCUAUUAAUGAUAAAUUAACACGUGCCAUUAAGGUAACAUGGAGAAUAUGCAGGAGAAAUGAUUUUGAGGAGAUAUGGAGGGUGGUUGUAGAAUUUGUACUGUUCAAACUGAAAGGGGUCAAACCAUCGCAACAGGCACAUCCUUCUGAUGUCCUGAUUUUGGGGAUCAAAAUGUUGGAGGGUAUGCACAUUGAUGUAAAGGUCUGUGUGGAAGACUACUUACACAUUGUCCAAUAAUAAUAAUAAUAAUAGUAAUGUAGACAUGCAAUACGAGCGGGGCAGUGGGCAAAAGAGAAUACAGAUUCCCAGAACAUGUGUGUAUGUUAAUUUACAUGCACAUAUACAAAGGUAGAAAAAAUUACUACUAUAAUUUUAAUAGAAAAGGAAUGCUAGAAAAAAUUACUACUAUAAUUUUUAUAGAAAAGAAAUCUCCGUAGUGGGCAAGACUGCAACCAGUGACCUGUGUGCCUGUUUGUUUCCCAGGUGCUACUAAGGCCCACCCCCCUUCUAUAGGUCUUCAUCUUUCAACCAGGCUGGCAUUGGCCACCCCUUCAGAGGAUUGUCCUCUGCAAAGGAAGACACAUGGUCUCCCCAGCGGAAUGUAUGUGUGCAUUUGUAUCUCCAACAGAGUCAUCCAAGUCCCAAAGCAUCCAUUUUUUAAAAGGCAAUCUUCUUGUUUUGUUGGAGAAUACAGUUAUGAAGAUGAGAACUACACUUGCUAGAUUAAAAAAUAAAAUAAAACUGGUCUCAGGAACCUCUACAAGCAGCACUGGGCUCUGGCACUAAUGAAUAAUAGUGGUGCAGAGCAAGGAGGAAAGUAUUUGAAGGUACUAAUUUUGCCUAUUCGACACAACUGAUUUUUAAGGUAAAAAGCACAGAGUGCAUCACCCGUGGGCUGUAUUUGAAAACCUACUUUUAUUUAAUAUUAAAACCAGCUUCUUACUGGAGCGGAAGCUUUGCUAAAAAUAGCAACUCCCUCUCUCUGCGGAGUUUGUGGAGGGGGAUAAAAGGCACAACCAAAAUAGGUGAUUGUUUCUAGUUUGUGCCAGAGGAAUACAAAGGGGAUUUUCCCUGUGACCUGUGAGGCUCCUUUGGGAGAAAGUCUCUCCACAGAAAUCUCCAAGGGGAACAGCCUAUUGGUCUGGAAGCAAAUAAACAGCUUGCACCAGGCACCUAAAGACCAGAAAGCUUAGCUUCUGUGAUUCCUUUAUCUGCUUCUGUCUAUAUCCCAAAGGCUCAUCUCAAAGGGUUGAGCACUACCAGUUUUAGCAUUAAAAAACUACAUCCAAUACCCAGUUGUAGUGAGGCUCUUGCAGCAGACAUGCGGGUAGGGAUGGGUGAAUUUAUCAAUUUUGGUUUCCCAUGUUUGAAAACCGUAAGUCUCCACAUUUCCACAGCUGUUUGCAUUUUGUUUUUAAAUAGAAAUCCUCAUGAAAAUUCAGUAGCAAUUUAGUGUGUAUUUUUCCUGAUAGGUGCAUUUUUUUUGCCUAAUAUACACAUUUAGGUAAAGUGAUUUCUCCUAACCUAAUGCAUAUUCUCACCAAUAUAUGCAAUUCCAUGCACCCUCCCCCCUAGCAUGUUCAGUUUUGGUCAUGUAACUUGUCUGGAGAACUGCAUUGCAACAUUUGGAAACCUAGGUGCUAUCUUGGGGGGAGGGGUGCCGAAGCAGAAGAAGAAGAAGAGUUUGGAUUUGAUAUCCCGCCUUUCACUCCCCUUCAGGAGUCUCAAAGCGGCUAACAUUCUCCUUUCCCUUCCUCCCCCACAACAAACACUCUGUGAGGUGAGUGGGGCUGAGAGACUUCAAAGAAGUGUGACUGGCCCAAGGUCACCCAGCAGCUGCAUGUGGAGGAGCGGAGACUCGAACCCGGUUCCCCAGAUUACGAGACUACCGCUCUUAACCACUACACCACACUGGCUCUCCAGUUUCCUCCUUGCUCUGCACCACUAUUAUUCAUUAGUGCCAGAGCACAGAAACAUUUACUGUGGGUGCUCGGCUGGGCCACCCAACACACUGCCUGCUGCAGUGGGGCGGUUCCUUUGGGCCCUCCUGCUGCGAUGGGGGGGGGCUUCACUGGACCCGCCUGCUGCAGCGACGAUGUGUGACAUCACACGCACGUGUGAUGUCACAAGCGUGCGCCAGGCACCCACAUUUAAUCAAUACAGGACAUAGCAUUUUACACUGAAGUAAGGGGCAAUCCUGUAUUAUACAGGAUGGGUGAUAACCUUACUUUAAAUGCACACGGCAGAUGGGCCCUUAACCACACCCUGUACCUUGCUUUAGAUAACGAUUGAUGCAGGCCCUCACUGAAAGAUUUGCCAGAUGUUUUCACAUGUCCUUUGGGUGCCGGGAUGACAGAAGACUUGCCACUGAAAUGAGAUUUUCUCCUGCGUAGCGGUCAGGCUUCACAAUUAAUCGCCUCUAAAUCUGAAAUAUUUCUUCUUCUUUUCCCAUCGCAGCUCAGCCCUGUGGCAGUGGAGGGAAAUGUUUCAGUUCGAGAGAGUCCUGAAGCACUUGAGAAUUACUAUAAAACCAGCAAACGGUCAGAUCUCAUCAGGCGCAGAAGACCGAUACAGAAUUUCCACAAUGGAUUAAAAUUGACCUGUCUCAUAUGGGGCCUCAUUGUAGCAAUUUAAAUCGAGGUGCUCUACAACUUUAAUUAUUUUAUUCAGACAUCUUCAUUUUUAUUUUUAUUUUAGCGUUCCAACCUGGGCA